This 261-nucleotide ribosomal RNA is filed under the name uncultured bacterium. RNAcentral's name for it is "partial 16S ribosomal RNA". It matches the Rfam family "Bacterial small subunit ribosomal RNA", at positions 793 to 1055 of the family's 1533-position model. The record is from RNAcentral.
GUCCACGCUGUAAACGAUGUCGACUUGGAGGUUGUUCCCUUGAGGAGUGGCUUCCGGAGCUAACGCGUUAAGUCGACCGCCUGGGGAGUACGGCCGCAAGGUUAAACUCAAAUGAAUUGACGGGGCCCGCACAAGCGGUGGAGCAUGUGGUUUAAUUCGAUGCAACGCGAAGAACCUUACCUGGUCUUGACAUCCACGGAAGUUUUCAGAGAUGAGAAUGUGCCUUCGGGAACCGUGAGACAGGUGCUGCAUGGCUGUCGU